Long non-coding RNA from Lepidothrix coronata (blue-crowned manakin), 355 nucleotides. RefSeq lists it as uncharacterized. NCBI's taxonomy places the organism in Eukaryota, Metazoa, Chordata, Aves, Passeriformes, Pipridae. The record is from RefSeq and is a predicted model, not a curated record. The transcript is spliced from 3 exons.
GUUGUGGGGGUGGCCAUAAUUCCCAGGCUCCCACAAAAGCUCCUGGCACCUCACUAUCUCCCCACUUCAUGGUGAUUCUCUGCCCCAGGAAACCCUCUUGUGCAUCAAGAUCUACUGCUUCACUGAGUGUGAUCCCUCAGCUAGCAGAGGCCAGAAAACAAUAGCAUUAUUUUAAGCCCAGCUGGCAACUAAGCACUACACAGUCAUUCACUCACUGCCCCAGUGGGAUGGGAAAGAGAACUGGAAGGGUAGAAGCGAGAAAAGUCAUGGAUUGAGGUAAAGAAAGUUUAAUAGGUACAGCAAAAGCCGUGAACAGAAGCAAAGCAGAACAAGGAGUUCAUUCUCCACUUCCCAC